UACAGAGGGUGCGAGCGUUAAUCGGAAUUACUAGGCGUAAAGCGUGCGUAGACGGUUAUUUAAGUCGGGUGUGAAAGCCCCGGGCUCAACCUGGGAAUUGCAUUCGAGACUGAAUAGCUAGGGUACGGUAGAGGGAAGCGGAAUUUCCGGUGUAGCGGUGAAAUGCGUAGAUAUCGGAAGGAACAUCAGUGGCGAAAGCGGCUUCCUGGACCAGUACCGACGUUCAGGCACGAAAGCGUGGGGAGCAAACAGG
Molecule: ribosomal RNA, 253 nt
Filed under: uncultured bacterium
Lineage: Bacteria
Description: partial 16S ribosomal RNA
Rfam family: Bacterial small subunit ribosomal RNA
Source: RNAcentral